GUGCUCUCUUGGGCAGCGCAUAUACUAAAGUCGGAGCAAUAAAGAAGAUCAGCAUGGCCCCUGUGCAAGGAUGACGUGCAAAUUCAUGAAGCGUUCCAUAUUUAA
Molecule: small nuclear RNA, 105 nt
Organism: Molossus molossus (Pallas's mastiff bat)
Lineage: Eukaryota; Metazoa; Chordata; Mammalia; Chiroptera; Molossidae
Source: RefSeq, a predicted model, not a curated record